GCAGUCUGCAACUCGACUGCAUGAAGCUGGAAUCGCUAGUAAUCGCGAAUCAGAAUGUCGCGGUGAAUACGUUCCCGGGUCUUGUACACACCGCCGUCACACCAUGGGAGUUGGAAAUGCCCGAAGCCGGUGACCGAACCUUAGGGACGGAGCCGUCGAAGGUGGAGCCAAUGACUGGGGUGAAGUCGUAACAAGGUACC
This 200-nucleotide ribosomal RNA is filed under the name uncultured bacterium. Its description in RNAcentral is "partial 16S ribosomal RNA". It matches the Rfam family "Bacterial small subunit ribosomal RNA", at positions 1300 to 1500 of the family's 1533-position model. The record is from RNAcentral.